GCCGCCGUAGCUCAGACCGGUAGAUCCCUGCGUGGGAACCGAUAGCGCUGGCCUUGUAAGCCAGUGGUCGCGGGUUCAAGUCCCGCCGGCGGCU
Molecule: transfer RNA, 94 nt
Filed under: Caldisphaera lagunensis DSM 15908
Lineage: Archaea; Thermoproteati; Thermoproteota; Thermoprotei; Acidilobales; Acidilobaceae
Also listed under: 1 other name
Rfam family: tRNA
About the family: Transfer RNA (tRNA) molecules are approximately 80 nucleotides in length. Their secondary structure includes four short double-helical elements and three loops (D, anti-codon, and T loops).
Source: Rfam by way of RNAcentral